This 253-nucleotide ribosomal RNA is filed under the name uncultured bacterium. RNAcentral describes it as "partial 16S ribosomal RNA". It matches the Rfam family "Bacterial small subunit ribosomal RNA", at positions 524 to 776 of the family's 1533-position model. The record is from RNAcentral.
UACGAAGGGUGCAAGCGUUAAUCGGAAUUACUGGGCGUAAAGCGCGCGUAGGUGGUUCAGUAAGUUGGAAGUGAAAUCCCCGGGCUCAACCUGGGAACUGCUUUCAAAACUGCUGAGCUAGAGUACGGUAGAGGGUGGUGGAAUUUCCUGUGUAGCGGUGAAAUGCGUAGAUAUAGGAAGGAACACCAGUGGCGAAGGCGACCAUCUGGACCGAAACUGACACUGAGGUGCGAAAGCGUGGGGAGCAAACAGG